RNAcentral lists this long non-coding RNA (5218 nucleotides) under Citrus x clementina. Its description in RNAcentral is "Citrus clementina (C. clementina) long non-coding RNA (CCLE_LNC002928)". The record is from RNAcentral. Lineage: Eukaryota; Viridiplantae; Streptophyta; Magnoliopsida; Sapindales; Rutaceae.
CGAGGACGUUGCAGUUGUUGAUGGAGCGGGCGUUCAGGGCGUCGGCGGGAGUGAGACACGUGGCGGCGAAGACGCCGGGGUUUUUGUUGGCGAAGAUUGCGACGCCGACUCCGGUUCCGCAGGCGACGAGGCCACGUGUGGUGGUGUCGGAGGAAUCGGAGGAGGAGACGCCGCGGCCGACCUCGGCGCCGAUGGAGUAGUAAUCGGAGGUGCCGAGAUCUUCCACGUCUAUGUUGAGUGACCGGAGGUGGGAGACCAGAGCGUCUUUCAAUUCGGCGCCGAAGGAGUCGGCGCCUGCGAUGAUCUUGAGAGGGCUGGGAGCGGCAGCGGCGGCGUUUUCAGCCAUGGUUCACUACGAGUUGACUAUUCCGAGGGAUGAGUUCAGUGGAGAGUCAGUAAGUCUACAUUCUGGGCGAAUGGUGUGAUGUCAAUUAUCGAUUUUCAUGCAGAAAUGGAUAAUUUACUCCAUGUCCUUGUCGUUUCACCAAAUUUAAAAUAAUCAAAGAAAGGUUUAAAUCAAUCAAAAAAACUUUUCUUUGUGAAAUUCGCUAAAAAAUAGUGGCUUUUGUAAUGUUAUACCGAUUAUAUACUUAAAGUAACUCAUUAUCAUUAUCAAUAUUAAUUCAAUCAAAAUUUCUUUAUUUAUUCAUUUAUUAAUUUUAUAUCAAGUUAUUAAUCAAUCAAAAUGUGUAUAUUUGUUAAUUUCGUUAUAAUUAUUUUAAAAUAAAUCACUUAUUUUUGUUAGUAUUUAUAUACUCUAAAUGUAAGUAAGUUUUUUAAUUAUCAACAAUUACAUCAUAGCUUGAACAAAUAUAUAUAUAGUGGGUCAAACUUGUCUUUAACAUUGUUUAUAUUUUAAUUAGAGUGAUAAACUUGUCUUUAAUAGUGGGUCAAACUUGUUCGAGGGACUUAUUUGUUAAUUUCAUAAACAAUGAGUACCUACAUGUAAAUUUUCUUAUUACGUAAAAAUUAUUGUUUUAUAUAUUUUUUUUAUCAGAGAUAAAAAAAUAAGAGUAAAUUAAUUUUUUUUAUAAGAUCUUAUUAAAUUACAUUAUAAUAUAACUUACAUCAACCAUUAAUUUAUAAGUAGUGACUAAAAAUAAAACCAAUUAAAUUAUUUUUUUAGAUCACUAAUUAUAUCUUUUGAGUUAGUAUAAGUUACAUUAUAGGGUCCAGCUACUAUACCCAUGAGGUUUGGUACCCCAUUCUUUUGUCUUUUUCAAAUCCACCGUUGGAUUUAACGUGAGAGUUGAAUAAUGGUUAGAUGUGAUUAUUGGGUCAUUAGCAUUAAAAGCCCUUGUUGUUCAUGCAAAAUAAGAAAAAUCAAACGUUUUAUAAUUCUGACAUAUAAGUCCACAAUAUUUUAAUUUUUUUUACUCUAUUGAACUAGGUUUUCAAUUAAAUGACUUAUUCUUACAUUUAUUAAUAUCUAUUUAAAUUAAUAAAUUUACUUAUUAAUUAAUAUAUUAACUAAUUUAUUACAUAAUUAAACUAUGUAAAUUAUUUACUAAUCAUAAUUGAUGAUAAAUAUAAAUAUGAUUUUUUUAAAUUUAAUACGGCAACCAAUUUUCUUUCACCCAUGUGAGCAGGGUUCAAACCCCAUAUCCUUUUUUUUUUUUCUCAAGCAAGAGAUUUUAUAUGUCAAGUAGAUGGAAUACACAAAAUACGAAAAUAAAUUUAAUUUGAUAUUCUAUGUAGGUAAUGUUUUGUUAUUUUUUUAUAACAUAAUAUUUAAUUAACAUACUUAAUUAUUUAAUUAUGUAGUAAAAAUAUUUCAAUUUACUAAUAAUAAUAAAGUGUUAGUUUAUGAAUUUAUAAAAUCAUUUUUGUUUGUUUGAGCAAUGAGUUUUGUAUUUUUGUGCUAAAAUAAAAGGAGUAAAUUUAAUUGUACACUUAAAUAAAUUUAAUUGAGUUUUUGUCCUGAAAAUCGUGGCUUCCAUAAGCAUUAAUGCAACUGAAAAUUUGUAGGUGUGGGACUAAUAUGUGAAAAUUUAAAAGUGUUUAGAUUUUUUGUUUUUAGAAUAAAUUACAGGACUCUAUUAUAAUUGACCUUAAGAAAAAGACAAAAAAAGGGGUACCAAACCCCUGUUGCAAAGUAGUUUUGCCCUACAUUAUAAUAUAACUUAACAACAUCUUUUUUAUAACACUGUGCUUAUUAUUGGCCUGACACUUUUCCGUAUUAAAAUUAUUGUUUCAAAUAAAGAAAUUGAAGUUAAUUUCAGAAAACAAUUUUUUUCAAAAAUUAAAAAACAAAUCCACAAAUUUCAAGGAUAAGCGGCGGAGGAUAAGAUCAGAAAUGGCGGGAACCGUUGGUUUGGGCUUGGGCAAACCCAUCAAAACGUUAAUCGCCGUUCGAUCCUGGGGAGUAUCGAUGACAUCAAACGCUGCUCAGGCACGGUGAACGGACGGCAACAAGAACACCAACAACAAAACUGCAACUCCCCAGUUUCUGGAAUUUGCAGUCAGUGGGGUCACUGAGCUUCUAAGGCUAUUCUCAUCCUUCGAUAAAGGCAGGUAAUUUACUUAUGAAGCUAUCAUCUCUGUUCUGUUUGGUUGCCAAGAAAAUGCCGGAAUACCCACCGGAAAGAUAAGGGAAAAUAUUGCAUAAUUGAUAAAAUUCAUCAGUUUAGUUUGCAUAUUUAAUAUUUUAUGUUUCGUUAGGUGUUUGCAGGUUGGAUAGAGUGAGUUAUAAACAAAAAGAUGAGAUUUUGGUUAAAUAAUUAAGCUACAAAAGAUAAAAACAAAAAUUAAAUUCUGCCCAAUUAAAUAAUUUAAAUAAAUUUAUCAAAGACAACUUAAAUUGCACGUGCGUACGUGCACUGGAGGGCCAGUUUGGGAUUUGUCAGAAUUUAUAAUAGAUUUUACUUAAAAUUCCGCACGAAAAUCAAUUGAAAUAGAGCCAAGAUCAGGUUCACUUUAGAAAUUAAAUAGCGAUCAAAACCAUUGCUUGCCCCCAAAGUAACAUGCACACCAACACAAAGACAUCAUGGAUUGGAUUACAAUUAACUUCAUUGGAGAUAAUAGGAAUUAGUAGAGAAAUAAAAAUGUUACUAAUAGGGAGAUACAAAGUGUAUUUAGAUGAACAUCCACAUUAAAUUUUAAUAUUUUCAUUACAUAAUUUCAUAAGAAUUUUGAAACUAGAAGGGAUCCUAACAUUUAGAAUUUAAUGUUAAGAGGUGGGUAAAAUCAACCAAUUUUUUUAAUCCAGGAGAAUUUAAACUCGACUGGCCAGCCAAAUAAUGUUGCUUGAAAUCCACUUGGCCAGGUCCCUAAUGUCAAGUUACCAUUCAACUUGCAUAUGGUUUAAGUAAAACUGGGAAGAAAUAUUAGUAGAAAUUUAUGGCUAAACAUGAUAUGUAGGGUAGAAACUAGUGUUUUUCUUAGAGCCAAUUUGGAAACAGAGAUGCUACUACAGUUAUUCUCCUUGAGUUUGAGUUAAACACUGAUAUCAAAAUGCAUAUGAAUUACACACUUGCGCCAAGAUUAGAAAUUUCGAUUGCCAAUUCACAAUGCAUAUUCACACACAUAAUUGGAGCAAUUGCCACAUAAGUAUCAACUAAAAUGGCAAUACAUAAUAAAAAUACAGGAAAAGAGAUCAUUACAAAUUCGGCAAGAGUUCGAUAAUAUUAUAUUACUUGGCCAAAAAACACUCAUUAGGUUUACAGCUUUCAAAUGCCUUAAAAUUAAAAUGACAUAAAUGAGUUUUUAAAUUUAAAAAAAAAAAAAAAAAAAAAAAAAAGAUCAGGCUGCAUGCACAUAGGAGUUCACAUUAAGGAGAUCUUGAAAAUCCCAAUGUCACAAGUUCAAAGUAUUGCAGAAUAUAUUUCACGAGAAGAAAGCAGAGACUCCAGAUUAUAGUAUCUACAAUUUAAACACUAUAAAGGGAGCACCUAUAACUCGGUUACAAUUUGUUCAAAGCAAUGGGAAAUGAGGGUGGCAGACAAACACUAAACAUGUAUCAAACUAACACGAACAAACAAUCAAAAUAAUAAUAACGAUCGCAACACAAUCAACAAUCUGAGAACAAAGAGCAUCAAGAUUAUCCAAAAUACAAGUAUAUUCACACUACGCGAUACACAAUUCAAUAUACAAGUUUGUUCAUACUACACAAUACACAAUUCAAUAUACGAGUAUGUUCAUACUUCACAAUACACAAUCUCUUGCACAACAAGCAAACAACUCAUACAUUAUUCAAAAGCAAACCCAUUAUUACCCAAACUUAAUCUGAAUCUUCCCCAUAGAAGCUGAUCAAGCAGUUUCCUUCUCAACCGCCUUCUUUGCAGCCUCAAGAUCCUCAUCAAAGAACAUAUCCCAACGCCCAUCCCACUUGAUGAAAAACUCAGUCUCUUCGUAAUACUUCACUCUAUGCACAUCACCAGCCGGUGUAAACAAGUAAUCCCCAACAGUCAAAUCAAACCUUUCCCCUUUAGUCAGAUUCCACACACUCUUCUUCCCUUGGAGCACCACCAGAUCAUGCCCAAAUGUAUGGUGAUGCGCGGGCUCCACACUCCCGGCCUUAAACCUCACAAUGGCCGAUGUCGGACUCUCCCUAAUAAUCUUCAUUGACCCACCGGGAAUCAUUUCCACAGGAUUCAAUUCCCUGUUCUUAACUAAACAACAUAUGCUACAAGUACUGCUACUAGAAUCACUAUCUAAUUUAUCAUUUUUACCAAUAAGGGGCAUUUCGGUCAUCGAUUUGUCGAAAAAACACGAUAUGUUCUCUUCCCAUGGCUUAAAACCCGACGCGGGGCAUGGGGCUUUAAAAGGGGUUUUAAGCCACGUGUCCAGGAUUUCGACGGCGGAUUCUUUGGAAGUGGACAUACCUGAGACGGCGAGGACGUUGCAGUUGUUGAUGGAGCGGGUGUUGAGGGCGUCGGCGGGAGUGAGACAUGUGGUGGCGAAGACGCCGGGGUUUUUGUUGGCGAAGAUUGCGACGCCGACUCCAGUUCCGCAGGCGACGAGGCCGCGUGUGGUGGUGUCGGACGAAUCGGAGGAGGAGACGCGGCGGCCGACCUCGGCGCCGAUGGAGUAGUAAUCGGAGGUGCCGAGAUCUUCCACGUCUAUGUUGAGUGACCGAAGGUGGGAGACCAAAGCGUCUUUCAAUUCAGCACCAAAGGAGUCGGCGCCGGCGAUGAUCUUGAGAGGGUGAGGAGCAGCGGCGGCAGCGUUUUCAGCCAUGGUUGACUAUGAGUUGACUAUUCUGAGGGAUAAGCUCAGU